This is a long non-coding RNA of Ochotona princeps (American pika), 386 nucleotides long. RefSeq lists it as uncharacterized. The transcript is spliced from 3 exons. The record is from RefSeq and is a predicted model, not a curated record. Lineage: Eukaryota; Metazoa; Chordata; Mammalia; Lagomorpha; Ochotonidae.
ACAGAUGACAAAGCAGAUACUCAGAAAAAAAUGAAUAACUGAAAAUCAUCAAAGCUCCUUUGGAAUUUUAAAUACAAAUGUUUACCGUCAGAAAUUCCACAUUCUGUACUGUACUCCAUGGUCUCCAUUACAUGAGCUGAACUAUGGAGUCACAGUGCUGCCGCAGGAGGUGCACUGGGUACGUAUGCCAUGAGACCAGGACCUGAGACCAAGAGAACAAAGUGGUCAAGACAAACCAAGGCCAAAUCAGAACACUGCACUCCGACUCUUUCUGCUCCCACUCUUCCAUGUGCACAAGUGUUUGAAUACACAGUUACACAGAUGCUGGACACCUUCACUUGAAGAAACCACAGACAACAAUCAACAUGCCUGACCUGAGCUCAUCA